GUCAGCUAUGCCUUCUGUCCAGCUUCUCUGGCAUUAAAUUUGAAAUUCACCUUAAAUACUCACUUUAGUAAAUAACCCUGUAAGUUAAAAUUGCUAACACUGCAAGAAGUCAACCCACUUCAUUUGAUAAUAUACAGGUGCAGGUCUUUAAUGAUCUAUCCCAAGCAACACUAGACAGAAGAAGGCAGCCUAAGCUAGUCACCCAAAUCCGUGUUUCAAAUAAUACAGAUGGGGUGUCAGCUUUAACCCCUUAAGGAUAUAUGUGUGACAUGUCAUGAUUCCCUUUUAUUCCAGAUGUUUGGGCCUUAAUGGGUUAAAUUACUUGUUAAGAAGAAUAGCAAGAUGUUGAGUUUCUCCUCCCUGGUGGACACUUGGACUCUACUCUGGUU
Molecule: non-coding RNA, 389 nt
Organism: Pelobates cultripes (western spadefoot toad)
Lineage: Eukaryota; Metazoa; Chordata; Amphibia; Anura; Pelobatidae
Source: the annotation of a GenBank genome assembly